AGCAGCCGCGGUAAUUCCAGCUCCAAUAGCGUAUAUUAAAGUUGCUGCAGUUAAAAAGCUCGUAGUUGAAUUUCGGGACUAAUAUGUCGGUCGUGCCUCGGUACGUACUGGUUUAUUGGUUUCUCCUUUCUGAAGAACCAUGAUGUCAUUUAUUUGGUGUCGUGGGGAAUCAGGACUGUUACUUUGAAAAAAUUAGAAUGUUUAAAGCAGGCUCACGCUUGGAUACAUUAGCAUGGAAUAAUGAAAUAGGACGUUUGAUUCUAUUUUGUUGGUUUCUAGGAUCGACGUAAUGAUUAAUAGGGAUAGUUGGGGGCAUUAGUAUUCAAUUGUCAGAGGUGAAAUUCUUGGAUUUAUUGAAGACUAACUACUGCGAAAGCAUUUGCCAAGGAUGUUUUCAUUAAUCAAGAACGAAAGUUAGGGGAUCGAAGACGAUCAGAUACCGUCGUAGUCUUAACCAUAAACUAUGCCGACUAGGGAUCGGAUGAUGUUAAUUUUUUUAAUGACUCAUUCGGCGCCUUAC
RNAcentral lists this ribosomal RNA (520 nucleotides) under uncultured Glomus. Its description in RNAcentral is "SSU rRNA". It matches the Rfam family "Eukaryotic small subunit ribosomal RNA", at positions 569 to 1091 of the family's 1831-position model. The record is from RNAcentral. Lineage: Eukaryota; Fungi; Glomeromycota; Glomeromycetes; Glomerales; Glomeraceae.